GACGAACGCUGGCGGCGUGCUUAACACAUGCAAGUCGAACGGAAAGGCCCUGCUUUUGUGGGGUGCUCGAGUGGCGAACGGGUGAGUAACACGUGAGUAACCUGCCCUUGACUUUGGGAUAACUUCAGGAAACUGGGGCUAAUACCGGAUCGGAGCUCCUGCUGCAUGGUGGGGGUUGGAAAGUUUCGGCGGUUGGGGAUGGACUCGCGGCUUAUCAGCUUGUUGGUGGGGUAGUGGCUUACCAAGGCUUUGACGGGUAGCCGGCCUGAGAGGGUGACCGGCCACAUUGGGACUGAGAUACGGCCCAGACUCCUACGGGAGGCAGCAGUGGGGAAUAUUGCACAAUGGGCGGAAGCCUGAUGCAGAAACGCCGCGUGCGGGAUGACGGCCUUCGGGUUGUAAACCGCUUUCGCCUGUGACGAAGCGUGAGUGACGGUAAUGGGUAAAGAAGCACCGGCUAACUACGUG
Molecule: ribosomal RNA, 468 nt
Filed under: uncultured bacterium
Lineage: Bacteria
Description: partial 16S ribosomal RNA
Rfam family: Bacterial small subunit ribosomal RNA
Source: RNAcentral